Molecule: ribosomal RNA, 429 nt
Filed under: Actinomycetes bacterium
Lineage: Bacteria; Bacillati; Actinomycetota; Actinomycetes
Description: Actinobacteria bacterium partial 16S ribosomal RNA
Rfam family: Bacterial small subunit ribosomal RNA
Source: RNAcentral
UAGGGAAUCUUCCGCAAUGGGCGAAAGCCUGACGGAGCAACGCCGCGUGAGUGAUGAAGGUCUUCGGAUCGUAAAACUCUUUUAUUAGGGAAGAACAAAUGUGUAAGUAACUAUGCACGUCUUGACGGUACCUAAUCAGAAAGCCACGGCUAACUACGUGCCAGCAGCCGCGGUAAUACGUAGGUGGUAAGCGUUAUCCGGAAUUAUUGGGCGUAAAGCGCGCGUAGGCGGUUUUUCAAGUCUGAUGUGAAAGCCCACGGCUCAACCGUGGAGGGUCAUUGGAAACUGGAAAACUUGAGUGCAGAAGAGGAAAGUGGAAUUCCAUGUGUAGCGGUGAAAUGCGCAGAGAUAUGGAGGAACACCAGUGGCGAAGGCGACUUUAUGGUCUGUAACUGACGCUGAUGUGCGAAAGCGUGGGGAUCAAACAGG